Tripterygium wilfordii is the source of this 692-nucleotide long non-coding RNA. RefSeq lists it as uncharacterized. The transcript has 2 exons. Lineage: Eukaryota; Viridiplantae; Streptophyta; Magnoliopsida; Celastrales; Celastraceae. The record is from RefSeq and is a predicted model, not a curated record.
AUUCAAUCACAACAAAACCCCCUCCCCCUCUCUCUCGAGUCUCAACAACAAAACCCUCUCCCAUAGUCCCAUAUACCAGGAAAUCAAGAAAGACCCUAAUCGCGAGAACUUGAUUGGGAGUUUGCGUUCUCCUCUUUUCCUCUAUCACUGUCUGCUUUCAAUGUUUCAGUCGUUAAAUACAGCUUUCAUGGUCUAUCAAACGGUGCGUCGGGCUGGCUUGCUUGCAUCCGAAUCACCUGUAAAGUUGCAGAAUUGGAAAGAGAAUCCGGUGGUUUCAUUUUAAACCUGGCGACCAUGAGCUGAUACCUUUAGCCUGGGAAGGUUUUCUUGGAUACAAUCCUACACUUCUGGAAACACAGCAAUGGCAUCUCCAAAAAUGAAGUCGAUCGUGCUAGAUAUUCGACAUUCCCAAUAAUUGGAUUAUGGAAAAUCCAUAUGGCAAAUCUUGGUAGUCGUCAAUCGCAAUGUAAUAGUCAUGUUUUCAUCUACUAAUCCACUAACUACUUGGGUGAUAGUCUAAUUAUGUGGGAGACAAUGUAUGUUGUAUUGUAUAUACAGGCAAACAAGUUCACAGUAAGUUGGUCAAUUUUAUGUUCAAGGAGAAGAACCAACCCAAAAACAAUUCCAUUAACUACAAAUAGUCUGCCAAAAAGAAUAAUACAAAAUUAAUUGACAAGAAACAAUGGAGAAUG